CUAACAUGUACACAUGAUUUUGUCCCUGUGCCUGGUUCAAUGCCUAGUGGGGAAAAAGCUAGUGGAUUCCGAACGGGGGUUUGAAAAGACAACUGACCAAAAUUUGCUAUCCGUGGAUGCAUUUAAGGUAGCCCAAUAUUUCUCUGCAGGAUGCUUUUUAUCGCCGGAAAUGCGGAACAGCACGUCAAAACAGCACAGACGUCCGCGCUGUCGCCUUUCUGGAGAAACCCAAUCGAAAACCUGCAUGGGCAACCGAUCGUCUGCCAUCCUUCGCAAGUGUCCAUACCUCUACCCUGUACCUAUCUCCGUUCUGACUGCUGCGAGCUUAUGAAGGACAGGAAAGAGUUCUUGCCUCUUUCGUGAAAUUAUCUGCCACUUUUGCAUGACAUUUUCUCCCCUGCCUUUCUGACAUUUUUCAAUCAUGUUGACACUCUGCAUUUAAGUUGCCAUUUUGUUAUGAAAAAUUUCAACAAUGGUAAAAAUGGCUUUCACAUGAACUGCCAAGGAGAGCCCUUUCUGAGAAAUGGUAAAUGCUGAUUACUUUAGUCAGACUGUAAGUAACGAUUAUUUUUUAAUCCAUUUUUGUCUUCUUCUUCUUCAAGAGUACCUAUGCAAUGAAAAUUGCUAUUUUAAGCGUAAAAUAAACAUAUCUGAAAGUAAAUACAUAGUAACUCAAAACGUAGUGGAUUCGAUAGAUCAUUGAAAUGCAGGUAGUUGUACUUCAUGUGAUGACUACAAAAUCUUCGCUUUAUGUAAAAAAAAAGUGCGCUUGAAGAAAUGCAUGUGGGAUUUUUUUACUGGAUAUUAAUGUUUUUCGUGGUUAUAUCUUGUACCUUUUAAAUAUUACAUUCAAACCCCUUUAAAAACUUGCUAAACCUGUAUACAGAGUUGCAUGACUAGAAAAGAAGGACAGUAAAGCCUUCGGAUAAAAUAACUUAAAAAACGGGUCGAAUAAAGGAAAUUUUUUUUGUUUAACAAAUUGAAGUAAUGUACAUAAAAUUUAAACUGAGGUCAAAUAUGAUAAAGAGAUGUCAACCUCAUUGCUCAUGAACACACACAUCCGCACGCUCCCUCACAUGCAUACACACAAUCAGGUAUCUGUAUUUGUUUGUGUGCUUGAUGUGUAAGUAUAAAUAUUUUAAAAGGGGUACGUGCAAAACGGGCCAUUUCACGCUCGUGUCGGAUACCAUUGAAACUUGCCCUAUUUAUUCAUCUAACAAUGCCCCAUGUUUUCCCAAAGUUUCAAGUCCCCAAAAAAUUUUGGGGGGAAAUGGGGGGGGGGUCAAAGUUGGAAAUCCGCGAAAUUUUCGCGAAUUUUUUACUUGAAAACUACUAAAUAUUUCGAAACGCGGUUUAAACAAGCGUUUUCAGCGUGAAAAGAGCUUUCAGAAAAUGUAUAAUAUCAUAGGGUUUUGUUGACUUAAACUCGAGUUAUCGCCUCCGAAGCGCCGGAACGCUAUAAAAUGACCCGCUUUUCUUCACGUUCGGGCCGAUCCCCAAAAUAGCCCAUUUUAAUUUCUUUGAAAAACUGAUAUGUUGUUCCUGACUCUCUAUGGCACCUAUAUGUCUUUACCGUAUCCUGGGGAAAUGUUUUGUUCGCUAGUUAUAAGCGCGGAAAGGAGCGAAAGUCGGGAAAAUCGGCUAUUUUGAACUGCGCGCGGCGACGGAUCAGGAGACAUGUGGCAACAAUGCGAGGUCGGCAGAGGAGUGUGAUUCGCCGAACUGAGCAGGAGGGGGCGUUCUCCUUCUAACCCAUGCGACGCGCGCAGUUCAAAAUAGCCGAUUUUCCCGACUUUCGCUCCUUUCCGCGCUUAUAACUAGCGAACAAAACAUUUCCCAGGAUACGGUAAAGACAUAUAGGUGCCAUAGAGAGUCAGGAACAACAUAUCAGUUUUUCAAAGAAAUUAAAAAUGGGCUAUUUUGGGGAUCGGCCCGAACGUGAAGAAAAAGCGGGUCAUUUUAUAGCGUUCCGGCGCUUCGGAGGCGAUAACUCGAGUUUAAGUCAACAAAACCCUAUGAUAUUAUACAUUUUCUGAAAGCUCUUUUCACGCUGAAAACGCUUAUUUAAACCGCGUUUCGAAAUAUUUAGUAGUUUUCGAGUAAAAAAUUCGCGAAAAUUUCGCGGAUUUCCAACUUUGACCCCCCCCCCCAUUACCCCCCAAAAUUUUUUGGGGACUUGAAACUUUGGGAAAACAUGGGGCAUUGUUAGAUGAAUAAAUAGGGCAAGUUUCAAUGGUAUCCGACACGAGCGUGAAAUGGCCCGUUUUGCACGUACCCCUUUAACUGUGGAUUGAUUUUGAUAGUUGGGCUACUUCAUUUGAAAGUUUUCUGAUCCUUUUCCGAUUCCUAUGAUAAACGAGUCUUAACGUGACAGGCUGUCACAACUGGAACUGGCUCUUCGGAAACUAAUCGGCUGAAGAGGGAACCUGUGGUGGCUUGCGUCUACUGAAGCUGGCCGGUGCAACAGUUCUCGGAUGUGGUGUACGAUUAGAUCAAUGGCAACUACAACGCAAACCAACACAAGAACCCAUUAGUAAAAUAAAAAAAAAUCAUGAAAUAGAUACAAUGUAUUAGAAAUUUAAGAUUAUUCUGACAGCUGCAAUUAAAAUUUUGAAAACUGAAGCAAAAUUUUACAUUUGUGAGUUUUCUGUUCUGUUGUUGCAUUUACAUUUACUCCUAAAAGAAAUCUUUAGAAAAAAAGCAAGCACAAAAUUAAUUUAAUUAUUCAAAUUAUUUUCCAUUUUCUGGAGGACCAAUAUUUAUGAAAGAUGGGGAGAGUAUGGAUGGACAGACGCAAAGGGAAGGGGGUGGACACCAUCCUUUUACAGGAUCUCCAGGCUUCAAAACUGUUUCCCGAUAAAGUCUGAACACCAUUCAGUCUGUGCACAGUUGCUAGAUUUUGUCUGUUUUCACCAUCAUUAUAAUGCAAAAUUGAAAAAGUUCGUUUAAGAAACCUCCACCUCCUUGUAAAUUUUUAGCAUGCCUCUAAUCCAGCACAAACUAACCUUAUUGAUGAAAGAUCUCUUAAUAACAGCGAGCCAUUGCAUACAAAAACCGUUCAAACCUUUCUGCAUACAGACAAUGACAACUGACUAAUUUAUUUUUAGGACAGCCCAAGCGGCAAAGACUCGUGAUCUUGGGAAAUUGAGAAAGAUAAGGAAAACCAGGAUUUCAAAAACUUUAAGCUCAGGACAUUUUUAGGAGUAAAUGGUGCAACUAGUUAUUAAAUAGGUAUUGAUUAAUGUCUACUUGACUACAAUAAUUAUGAACAAUCAGCCUCUAUAUUUCUAAACACAAAAAGUGAAAAGAUUUUAAACGAUCCUGUCCAAAAUCUUCAUGGAGUGGCAGAUAACAUCACGAAUCAAAAUCAACGAAAUGGUCCCUUCACAUUUCGGAUGUGGAAGUUCGAAUUCAAAUUUUGAUUAUGCAAGACUGAGUAAUAGUUUUGGUGGAUUAUAGUUUUACACAUUUUAUAAAUUUGUCUGAUAAGUUGGGCUAUUUAAAGUUGCUUUGCUUUCUCCUACAGAUAAGUUAAAACAUCAACAAAAAAUAUCCUAACACAUAAAUGCUUGGGGGUCAGCAUGAGCAUGAUAUAACAAUUUCCAAGUCGCUAGAGGGUCCAAUAGGGGCAACAUGACCACCAACAAAAAUUAGUAGUUUUUUUGCUUAUUCUCCGGGUAAAGUGCAUCCUGUUAGACAACAAUGUUUCGUAAAUUGGUACUAUUUUUGUCAAAAAAUAUCUAUUUUUUAAUUUUUAAAAUAUUUUUAUCCAAUACUGAUUAAAGUAUAUAUAGAUUUGGCAUUCCCGAAAUUCCUAAAAAUGUGGAAUGAAAUUAUGAAGAAGGGAGAAUACCCCGAAAAAAAGAAAAUUAUCAUUAUUCUCUAAGUCUAAAAAACAGCCAGAAGAAAGGAAAAUACAUACUCGCAUUUUAGUCAGUGGGAGCAAACUUUACGAGCAACAACAGCGAAUAGAAUACUAUGACCCCUGGACCUUUCCCAAGAUUAAUUUGGAUUUCGAAAGGGAAAUUUACAAUUAAGGCUUUAGAAAAACUCAAAAGAAUAUACGAAAUGAACAUCCAGGAUAAAUAUCACAGAAUGAAAUGUUGGCGCUGACAAGGAUAGAUAUUAAAAACUCGUUCAACAAUCUAAACUGGGAGGCUGUAAGUAAAUUCAUGGAAGAAAAGAAAAUACCUAAUAAUAUACAUAAUAAGGAUAAUAAAAAGCUAUCUGACUGAGAGAAUGAUAAGAUAUUGGGGGGUGAUCUUUGAAAUAAUAAGCGGAUGCAGUCAGGGGAGGGUACUCUCUCAUUUGAUCUGGAACAUUGCCUUUGAUCAGAUUGUAAGACUAAAAACAGAUCCACAAAGCGAGAAAAAUGCAAAUGCGGAUGACGUCCUGGUCAUCCUUCUGGCUUAUGACAAAGAAAGCACUAAAGGACGACUCUUUUAAAAUAACAAAGCAGAUCAAAACAAAAGUAGACACACAAGAAUUAAAAAUGGAAACGCAAAAAACAGUAAGCUUGAUCAUUGCAAUAAAAGAUACGAAAAAAAAGCGAGAAUAAAGAUGAAAGAAGACUCAGAAAUCGAACCGCAACAAGAAAUGAAAUAGCUAGGGUUUAUGAUUAAGAAGAACUUGGGAUUAGGAAAACAUUAAUUAUGUGUGUGAUAAGGCCAGAAGGGUAG
Molecule: long non-coding RNA, 4679 nt
Filed under: Bemisia tabaci
Lineage: Eukaryota; Metazoa; Arthropoda; Insecta; Hemiptera; Aleyrodidae
Description: lncRNA ENSSSA3NGG006481
Source: RNAcentral